AACGCGAAGAACCUUACCAGGUCUUGACAUCGAGUGCAUAGCCUAGAGGUAGGUGAAGCCCUUCGGGGCACUCAGACAGGUGGUGCAUGGUUGUCGUCAGCUCGUGUCGUGAGAUGUUGGGUUAAGUCCCGCAACGAGCGCAACCCUUACUAUUAGUUGCUACGCAAGAGCACUCUAAUGGGACUGCCGUUGACAAAACGGAGGAAGGUGGGGAUGACGUCAAAUCAUCAUGCCCUUUAUGACCUGGGCUACACACGUAAUACAAUGGCAAUUUAACAACGGGAAGCAAGACCGCGAGGUGGAGCGAACCCCCAAAAAUUGUCUCAGUUCGGAUUGCAGGCUGCAACUCGCCUGUAUGAAGUCGGAAUUGCUAGUAAUCGCGGAUCAGCAUGCCGCGGUGAAUACGUUCCCGGGUCUUGUACACACCG
RNAcentral lists this ribosomal RNA (428 nucleotides) under uncultured bacterium. RNAcentral describes it as "bacterial SSU rRNA". It matches the Rfam family "Bacterial small subunit ribosomal RNA", at positions 958 to 1392 of the family's 1533-position model. The record is from RNAcentral.